Acanthopagrus latus (yellowfin seabream) is the source of this 1402-nucleotide long non-coding RNA. RefSeq lists it as uncharacterized. The transcript is spliced from 3 exons. The record is from RefSeq and is a predicted model, not a curated record. NCBI's taxonomy places the organism in Eukaryota, Metazoa, Chordata, Actinopteri, Spariformes, Sparidae.
GUUCCGGAGGGCUUCAGACUGCUGGAGCUGUGCCGGAGCAAAUACACAGCGCACCGGACCUGGUGGAAAUUAACACAUAGAAAAAAGUGAAACCUAUCAGCUUCACUGGCGUGGCGGAGACGUAAUGCAGCGGACACACUUCUGGUGGAAUCUAGGGGCAAGUUUUGCAACUUACACCAACAGUCAGCAAGAUGCCGCCCUCGGUACAUUUCCAAUACAGUUCUAGAGAAUUGAAGGCCCGUCCUGCAUUGCCUCAAAAUGUUUUGAACAGCGCAAAGGAACCCUGACUUUGUGGUCCAGAUGAGAAACUGCAUGAUCUUAAUUGGAGGAGCCCGAGUUGCCGCUGGUUUGUGACAGCAGUUAGAGAGAUGCUGAGAUCUUGACAGUAUCCUGAUACAAAGACUGGCCUGUCGUCACAGCGUCACUGCCCACUUCAGACUCUGCGGUUCUGACCUUGUGUUGGCGAGAACAGACCCCAGCAGACCGUCUCCUCCAGGCUGCACAGGCUGUGAUACCGCAGAGGGAUGACUGUCUGCUCCUCUGAUGACGGACACUCGAUGAAGGCAAAACAAAGCAUAGCAUCGCUUGUAAAUUUAAACAGAGAUUAUACUGUUGUUCUACAAGAAUUACAGAACAAGUGUGUUAAGAGAUGUGAAUGUUUAUAGUCACUGUCUGCAGGAUCACUGUAUUAUUUUUUGUGUGUCUAGGAAAUGUGCCUAUUGGUUAAAUGUAGACCAUUAAAUGUUGAAUCAUUUCAAAAUGUGCUUUUGAUGCUUGGUCCCUCCCUUUUUUGUUCAGAUAUUGAUUUUAGAUUAGUCCCAUUAGCUUUUCGGUGCUUCAGGUCAGUAUUAGUGAGUGGCAUGUGGAUAUAUACGCACUGCAGUAGACUGUUUUUUGUAUGACUUUCUCCGGGCUCAGCAUUUAGAAUAAUUAACUUUGACUCAAUCUUUUGUGUUAACAUAUGAUUAUGAAGUAAACGUUGGUUGCACACUGUAAUGGCUGUAGAAUUAUGACCCGAGACACGGUGAUUGCUUUCCAAAAAAGCCUCGGUUUACCCGUGCAAAUCUUUCAGGAAAACAAAGGCUGAGUGUCGGUCCAAUUACCUGGCACCAUUUUAAUCUCCUUUCAUGUCUCCAUUGUUGGGUAAAUGAUUGAAUAAACUCACCUUUUCUCCUGUGCUGUUGGAAAAUGGUGCUCUGAGGCAAACAGAAAACCAACUAACUAAUGUAAUCUCAACUAUUCAAAUUUUAAUUAAUAAAUCUAUAACAUUAUUUUCAAGCCUAUGCAUAAAUUAAUACUAUAAAAAUAUUGCUAUUUUUUCAUACUCUGAUGUUUGAAGGAGGGAGCCCAUACACGCUCAUUAUAUAUGUUUUUAUAUUCCAUUGAUUUUUAUAAAACAAGA